UCGCGGCUUCCAGGACACCGCCCAGCUCAAGCUCCUCCCCUAGGCCCCGGGUCCUACGCGCUUCGCUCCCUUCCCCAGACUGUCCCUAGUGCCUAGGCAGCGAAGGAGCCCAAAGACUUGGAAUGAGGAGACUGCUGGGGCUUGUUGCGGGAAUGGGAAAUGAGUGUAGAGGACCCAGAGACCGGAGGCUGCAAGCCUGGCUCCCAGAAACGAAAUCUGCCCACUCUGACAGCUCGGUUGAAGGUGAUUGAUGACUAUCUGGAGACCACAGUACGCAUCAUAUAAUAUCUGCUGCGUAAUUGCUUUAAUUUACAGAUGAAAAUACGAGUUCUCGGAUCGCAUUGGACCGCAGCCGGCCACGUCCGAGCUGCUUGCAAGGGAAAGCCAUCGGAAAUAAUGAAUAGCCGCUCCAUGCAAAUUAUUCAGACACUUUAGCGUCUGUAGCCGGGAGAGAUAUAUAAAGAACACGAGUCAAAUGACAUUAAUAA
Molecule: long non-coding RNA, 488 nt
Organism: Phyllostomus discolor (pale spear-nosed bat)
Lineage: Eukaryota; Metazoa; Chordata; Mammalia; Chiroptera; Phyllostomidae
Exons: 2
Source: RefSeq, a predicted model, not a curated record